AUUGAACGCUGGCGGCAUGCUUUACACAUGCAAGUCGAACGGUAACAGGGUGCUUGCACCGCUGACGAGUGGCGAACGGGUGAGUAACGCGUCGGAACGUGCCGAGUAGUGGGGGAUAACGCAGCGAAAGUUGUGCUAAUACCGCAUACGUACUGAGGUAGAAAGCGGGGGACCUUCGGGCCUCACGCUAUUCGAGCGGCCGACGUCUGAUUAGCUAGUAGGUGAGGUAAAGGCUCACCUAGGCGACGAUCAGUAGCGGGUCUGAGAGGAUGAUCGGCAACACUGGGACUGAGAAACGGCCCAGACUCCUACGGGAGGCAGCAGUGGGGAAUUUUGGACAAUGGGCGAAAGCCUGAUCCAGCCAUGCCGCGUGUCUGAAGAAGGCCUUCGGGUUGUAAAGGACUUUUGUCAGGGAGGAAAUCCCUAGUGCUAAUAACACUGGGGGAUGACAGUACCUGAAGAAUAAGCACCGGCUAACUACGUGCCAGCCGCCGCGGUAA
Molecule: ribosomal RNA, 500 nt
Filed under: uncultured bacterium
Lineage: Bacteria
Description: partial 16S ribosomal RNA
Rfam family: Bacterial small subunit ribosomal RNA
Source: RNAcentral